Molecule: ribosomal RNA, 1044 nt
Filed under: Triticum aestivum (bread wheat)
Lineage: Eukaryota; Viridiplantae; Streptophyta; Magnoliopsida; Poales; Poaceae
Description: partial small subunit ribosomal RNA
Source: RNAcentral
AUGAAGGUAGCAUUAAAAACUAUCCUCCCAGAUGCACUACAUAAGUUGUGUCGGUGGCAUAUCAUGAAGAAGUACAAAGACCACCUCGCCUUGUUGUAUAAGGCGCACGAGAAACUCAAGGAUGACCUCAAUGCGGUGCUGAACCACCCACUAAUGCCGUCAGAAUUUGAACGAUCAUGGAGGGACCUCAUUCAGAAAUACAACUUGCAAAACGACGAAGUGAUGAUUUCUCUAUGGGAUGAAAGGCACGAGUGGAUCUCGGCUUACUACAAUGAAAUUUUCUGUGCUCGGAUGACUUCCACGCAGAGAAGCGAGAGCAUGAACCGCAUACUGAAGAAAAACUUUGUCAAAGAGAAGCAUGAUCUCCAUCUGUUUACUCAGUAGGUGGACAAGUGCAUUCAGACCAGGAAGGCCGUCGAGCACGCAGAGACAGUAGCAAAUGAGUCAGAGGUAAAGACAACAACCCAGUUUGGGUUCGAAGUUCAGCUAUCAAAAGUGUAUACAAGGGCAGUGUUUGCAGAUAUCAAAGAAACACUCUACCGUAGUGCUGCGUUCAGAGCAGAACGGUGCCAUGAGAACCCGACAAAGUAUCUCGUACACCACUACAACAGAUCGGAUGCAUUUGACUAGGCAAGGCAUAAUUUCCAUGUAGUCGCCGAUGAACAGAAAGGUGUCUACGAAUGUGAGUGCAAACUCUGGACACACACCGGGCUCUUUUGCGGUCAUGUGUUAUGCAUGCUUUCUCAUUUGAGAGCACUCAAGAUUCCUGAGGUGUACAUCAUGAAAAGAUACACCUGAAACGCAAGAUCAAAUGCAAUGUUUGACAAAAGAGACUACGAACAAACAGCACCAGAUGGAAGCUCCGCUUUUUGCCGUAGAAAAUUGCUGACAGAAAUAGCAAUGGACCUUGCAAACAGAGCGACAAGGUCCGACGCUGGAUGCCACAGAGCGUUGUCUGCUAUGAGGGCACUGAUCGAGGAAGUUGAUGUGCUCAACAAAGAAGAAGAAGAAGCAGCAAAACUAAAGCAAGCAGAGAAAUCCUAG